GUCCUAGCCCUAAACGAUGAACACUUGGUGUGGCGGGUACCCAAUCCCGCCGUGCCGGAGCUAACGCGUUAAGUGUUCCGCCUGGGGAGUACGGUAGCAAGGCUGAAACUCAAAGGAAUUGACGGGGGCCCGCACAAGCGGUGGAGCAUGUGGUUCAAUUCGACGCAACGCGAAGAACCUUACCUGGGCUCGAAGCGCAGUGGACCGGGGUGGAAACAUCCCUUCCCGCAAGGGCUGCUGCGUAGGUGCUGCAUGGCUGUCGU
This 263-nucleotide ribosomal RNA is filed under the name uncultured bacterium. Its description in RNAcentral is "partial 16S ribosomal RNA". It matches the Rfam family "Bacterial small subunit ribosomal RNA", at positions 793 to 1055 of the family's 1533-position model. The record is from RNAcentral.